This 164-nucleotide unclassified non-coding RNA is filed under the name uncultured Penicillium. RNAcentral's name for it is "sequence contains ITS2". Lineage: Eukaryota; Fungi; Ascomycota; Eurotiomycetes; Eurotiales; Aspergillaceae. The record is from RNAcentral.
CUGCCCUCAAGCACGGCUUGUGUGUUGGGCCUCCGUCCCCCACCCGGGGGACGGGCCCGAAAGGCAGCGGCGGCACCGUGUCCGGUCCUCGAGCGUAUGGGGCUUUGUCACCCGCUCUGUAGGCCCGGCCGGCGCCUGCCGACCCUCAUCAUCCUUUUUUCAGG